AGUUUAACACCUGACUAAUUGAUUAUCCUGAAAAGCCAUACUGUAUAAAUAGAUAUGUUUUGAUUGCAUAUCGAUUUUUAAAUUAAAUGGACAAACCGGUUUUGACAGGUCAUAAUUAAUGUAAUUAAGAGUAUUGGGACUGCAUAAUUAGACCGGAAUUCGGAAUACACAGAGUCCGGUUUACAAAGGGUAUUUUAACAAACACUUUGAAGGGAAAAAAAUGGGACUUUCAUUUUCGGCCGGAAUGGACAGGAAACCGGUUUAUUCAGGGUCC
RNAcentral lists this long non-coding RNA (274 nucleotides) under Mytilus galloprovincialis (Mediterranean mussel). The record is from RNAcentral. Lineage: Eukaryota; Metazoa; Mollusca; Bivalvia; Mytilida; Mytilidae.